Molecule: unclassified non-coding RNA, 20 nt
Filed under: Mus musculus (house mouse)
Lineage: Eukaryota; Metazoa; Chordata; Mammalia; Rodentia; Muridae
Description: oocyte_clustered_small_RNA7537
Source: RNAcentral
AGUCAGGACUGGAACUCCAA